This 365-nucleotide ribosomal RNA is filed under the name uncultured bacterium. Its description in RNAcentral is "bacterial SSU rRNA". It matches the Rfam family "Bacterial small subunit ribosomal RNA", at positions 378 to 760 of the family's 1533-position model. The record is from RNAcentral.
CAAGCCUGAUCCAGCCAUGCCGCGUGGGUGCUGAAGGCCUUAGGGUUGUAAAGCCCCUUCGGCGGGGAAGAUAAUGACGGUACCCGCAGAAGAAGCCCCGGCUAACUUCGUGCCAGCAGCCGCGGUAAUACGAGGGGGGCUAGCGUUGCUCGGACUUACUGGGCGUAAAGCGCACGUAGGCGGCUGGUUAAGUCGGGGGUGAAAUCCCGGAGCUCAACUCCGGAACUGCCUUCGAUACUGGCAAGCUCGAGUCCGGGAGAGGUGAGGGGAACUGCGAGUGUAGAGGGGAAAUUCGUAGAUAUUCGCAAGAACACCCGUGGCGAAGGCGGCUCACUGGCCCGGUACGGACGCUGAGGUGCGAAAGC